CUACGGGAGGCAGCAGUGAGGAAUAUUGCACAAUGGGGGGAACCCUGAUGCAGCAACGCCGCGUGGAGGAUGACGCAUUUCGGUGUGUAAACUCCUUUUAUAUGUCAAGAAAAUGACGGUAGCAUAUGAAUAAGCACCGGCUAACUCCGUGCCAGCAGCCGCGGUAAUACGGAGGGUGCAAGCGUUACUCGGAAUCACUGGGCGUAAAGUACGCGUAGGCGGGUUGGAAAGUCAGGUGUGAAAUCCUACAGCUUAACUGUAGAACUGCACUUGAAACUUCUAAUCUAGAGUAUGGGAGGGGGAGAUGGAAUUAGUGGUGUAGGGGUAAUAUCCGUAGAUAUCACUAGGAAUACCUAAAGCGAAGGCGAUCUCCUGGAACAUUACUGACGCUAAGGCGUGAAAGCGUGGGGAGCAAACAGGAUUAGAUACCCGGGUAGUC
Molecule: ribosomal RNA, 439 nt
Filed under: uncultured bacterium
Lineage: Bacteria
Description: partial 16S ribosomal RNA
Rfam family: Bacterial small subunit ribosomal RNA
Source: RNAcentral